GCCUCUUGUUCCAGCAGACAGCCCGAAAACAGACCCGGCAUACACCCAGCUUUUGGAAGGCCCGGAAAAGUGAAUCAGCAGACAGAAACAGAGUCCCUCCCCUUUGACGACCAACUGGGGGUUAAAAUCCAUGCUCCCGGGACCAGCCUGCCCAGCUCAGUGGGGUCAGGAGGCUUUGUCCUAUGAAGGCAGCCUGGGAGGGAGGCACGUUACUGCUCCUUGGGGUGAGAGAAGAGAGAUGGUGCUUGCUGUCAUUCCAUGGCCUUUCCAAGUAUCCCUGAGGCUCAGAAUUCCUUGGCGGUCCUGGGGGAGGCAGCGACUGAGGCAGCGGCUGUACUGUGCUUCUCAGCUGGCUGUCUGGUCUCCAUCCUCGCGAGGCUGUCGCUGCACCACAGGACAGAGGCGGACACCCAGGUUCCCUGGUACCCAGUCUCUCCAGAGGCUCAGAGUGUGCGUUGGUGUGGAACAGCCUCUAAGAGGUACCUUGGCCUUCCUGGAGCCCCAGAACAUGGAGACUAACCCAGGACAGAGACGGUCACUGUGGGAGAAAAGACGACACGAUGGUUACCCUGCAGCAAACCAGUCUGACUCACCUUGAAAAGUAUUUGGCCGAGCACAGUGGCUCACACCUGUAAUCCCAGCACUUUGGGAGGCCAAGGGGGUGUGGAUCUCCUGAGGUCAAGAGUUCGAGACCAGCCUUGCCAACUUGGUGAAACUCCAUCUCUACUAAAAAUACAAAAAUCAGCUGGGCGUGGUGGUGGGCACCUGUAAUACCAGCUGCUCAGGAGACCGAGGCAUGAGAAUCACUUGAACCCAGGAGGCAGAGGUUGCAGUGAGCCAAAAGAAAGAGAGAAAGAGAGAGAGAAGGAAGGAAGGAAGGAAGGAAGGAAGGAAGGAAGGAAGGAAGGAAG
Molecule: long non-coding RNA, 911 nt
Organism: Rhinopithecus bieti (black snub-nosed monkey)
Lineage: Eukaryota; Metazoa; Chordata; Mammalia; Primates; Cercopithecidae
Source: Ensembl